This 413-nucleotide unclassified non-coding RNA is filed under the name soil metagenome. RNAcentral describes it as "partial contains 5.8S ribosomal RNA, internal transcribed spacer 2, and large subunit ribosomal RNA". The stretch from base 1 to 120 matches the Rfam family "5.8S ribosomal RNA", at positions 35 to 154 of the family's 154-position model. The record is from RNAcentral.
GAUGAAGAACGUAGCGAAAUGCGAUACGUAGUGUGAAUUGCAGAAUUCCGUGAACCAUCAAAUCUUUGAACGCAUAUUGCGCUCGAGGCUUCGGCCGAGAGCAUGUCUGCCUCAGCGUCGGUAUUACCCCUCGCUUCUCAACCCCUGGUUGAUGCCUGCCUGCCUUUGCAGUUGGCUAGAAGCGGAUCUGGCUUUCCCAAUUGCCUUUGGUAGUUGGGUCAGCUGAAGCACAGAGGCUUGAGCAAGGACCCUUAUUGGGCUUCAACUGGAUAGGUAGAACUGGUCUUAGGACCAACUACACGAAGUUGUUGCUUGUGGUAUUUUGUCUGGAGGCCAGCAGGAAACCUUUAUACCUUCGACCUGAGCUCAGGCAAGAUUACCCGCUGAACUUAAGCAUAUCAAUAAGCGGAGGA